RNAcentral lists this non-coding RNA (28 nucleotides) under Mus musculus (house mouse). The record is from RNAcentral. Lineage: Eukaryota; Metazoa; Chordata; Mammalia; Rodentia; Muridae.
UAGAUUCAGAUGUCCCAGCAUGAAGGUC